UGAGGGAUAUUGCACAAUGGGCGCAAGCCUGAUGCAGCGACGCCGCGUGGGUGAAGAAGGUUUUCGGAUCGUAAAACCCUUUUCUGUGUGACGAGCAAGGACGGUAGCACAGGAAUAAGUCUCGGCUAACUACGUGCCAGCAGCCGCGGUAAAACGUAGGAGACAAACGUUAUCCGGAGUUACUGGGCGUAAAGGGCGUGCAGGCGGCAGUCUAAGUCUGGCGUGAAAUUUCCCGGCUUAACCGGGGGAGGUCGUCGGAUACUGGGCAGCUCGAGGGCGGUAGAGGCGUGUGGAAUUCCGGGUGUAGUGGUGAAAUGCGUAGAGAUCCGGAGGAACACCAGUGGCGAAGGCGACACGCUGGGCCGCACCUGACGCUAAGACGCGAAAGCGUGGGGAGCAAACAGGAUUAGAUACCCAGGUAGUCCCUGAGCGGGCUGGCAAGGCGCAU
This 448-nucleotide ribosomal RNA is filed under the name uncultured bacterium. Its description in RNAcentral is "bacterial SSU rRNA". It matches the Rfam family "Bacterial small subunit ribosomal RNA", at positions 355 to 825 of the family's 1533-position model. The record is from RNAcentral.